Molecule: long non-coding RNA, 2614 nt
Organism: Cyprinus carpio (common carp)
Lineage: Eukaryota; Metazoa; Chordata; Actinopteri; Cypriniformes; Cyprinidae
Source: Ensembl
AAAAAUGUGCAAUAUCCUUAUAUUUAUUUGUUACCCCUUCAUCCUAGUACAUCCCUGCAUCUUACUCAAUCCAAUUCCAUUAUCAUUUAUAGCACAAUUGUUUAUACACUUAUUUAUCUGCAAAGGGUUUUUAUUUUUUAUUUUUUUGACUGUGUGUUGUUGUCUUUUGUGUACUGGAAGCUUAUGUCACUAAAACAAAUUCCUUGUAUGCGCAAGCAUACUUGGCAAUAAAGCUCUUUCUGAUUCUGAUUCUGAUUCUGAUUCUGAUAAAAACUUCAAAAGAGACAGACAUGAAGUUGUAGUCUGUGAAAGAUGUUUUCUCUGUUUUAUUGGGAUGGACAUCUUUCCUUUAUUACUUUACUAGUUUUGGGGGUGAGUAAUUUAUUAUAUGUGCAUUAUUCUUCCAACAAUAGUUAUUACUGUAAGAGUUUUCAUUAGUAAGCAUUGCUGUAUGAUAAGAUCUUUGUCUAGUGCUCUUUCUUAUGAAUGUUUUAGCAUGACUUUGUGAAAGGUUAAUUAAACUACAACUAUCUCAUAGCUUGCUAUGGUCAUGGUUGCUUGUAAUUGAAAACAUUCUAUUAAUUUACACACAUUAAUGUGUGGCAAAACAUUUUGCAAUCAAUGUGUUUUUUGUCAUUUCUUCCAGCGCUAGAUCACAGAGCAAGUUAAAGCCAUAACCAUGCUUGUUUUACUGCUGAUCGCAUCAAUGUUUCGGCAAGGUCUUACAGUAGUGGGCUACGGAGACAACUUUAUCACUGCCUUUCCAGAGAACAUUGGUUUCUUCUAUACGUCUAAUACCAAUAACCGUCUAAGAGUCACAGCCCUGCAUGACAACACUUCAUUAAAAGUCUUCUACAAAACCACACAGAAAGACUUACAAAUUCCAAAGUCAGGACAGACCAUGAUUAUUUUGUUUCCAAAGUCCGCUGAAGUAAAUGAACUAGGCCCCUCGAUUUUAUCUGUCAGAAUUACCAGUGACAAAAACAUCACAGUGGUUUCUAUAAGUCACCAGGCAGGCAGCACCCAGUCCUAUGUCGUCCAGCCAACUGUAAAUCUUGGCACAAACUAUUUGAUCCCUUUGCUGGAUUACCCAGGGUAUCUUGAAUCUUUUAACCUAACUAGGCUUGUCAGUACAACCAUAAGAUACAGCUCAUUCAAGUUACUCAUUAUCAAUGCGGUGGACAGUCAAAACAGCGUCACUAUAGUCAAGCAAACAUCAGCAUCAGGUGUUCGUGAAGAGACGUUCAGUAUCAAUUCCUACCAACUGGUCCAGCUUCAGACCAAUGGUUCUAUUUUGAGGGUCAAAUCGAGCAAAGAAGUCGCUGUGAUAUUGACCCACCCGUGUGUAGAGACUGAGAACUGUAAAUGUAACAUGGUAAUGAAUCAGAUUAUUCCCACAAAGUUUCAGGGUCGGAGCUUUAUCGUACCUUCCAUCUUCAAAGUGUCCAAGACCAAGCUACUUAUGCUAUCAGAAAACACAUCCACGCUAUUCCACGAUGGUAACCAGUUACAGGCUUCUCCCUCGACGCUUCUGCCAUUUUCAGACCCGCAGAAAUCCCAGCUGGUUAAUGCUACGGAGCUAGUGUCCCUCAGACUUUUCAGUCCAGGUCUCAUUGUGGAGCUGAUCCCAGAAAACAUGUUCUUUGCUUGCUACCUGCUGCAGUUUGCUGAAAUAAAUGGCAAGGCUUUGGUGAUCGCUGAAACAGACAGCAAAGAUGACGUGCGCAUACAUGGAGGUUUGCUCUCAGCAUCUAACUGGACUGCAAUCACUGGCACAAACUACUCUUCAACUGUUGUAACUAUACCUUAUAAAAUGUCCACAAUCUGGCAUCCAACAUCAAGGAUUGCUGUUUAUAUGCUGGAUUAUAUAUCUGAAAAAGUAAUAUUUGGAGGCCCAGCUGUACCAAUCAAUAAAAAACCAGAUCUUCAUGGCUGUGUGUUGGUUCCCGGAGCAUUUGCGAUUGGACGGGACCCCCUGACUUGGAAGAAGUCUCGCGAGUACUGCAUGAAUAAUCAAAAUCAGUUUGCCUGUCCUAUAACUGAAUCUGUCCAUAAAGAUAUGGCUGAUAACCUGACCAAGGAGGAUGGGGAAGGCUGGAUCGGUCUCCGCCGCAGUUUACUAACUACAGGCUGGUACUGGCAGGAGGAGUAUGAUCCCCCAAUCUCUGUCAAAUACGUUCACUGGGACAAAAAGCAUCCACUGCAUGUUUUGAAGGGCUUAUGCACUUCAGUGUCCCUUGACCCUAAAAAUGAUUUCAAAUGGCGAAGUGCACGGUGCUGUGAUAAAAAGAAGCCUGUCUGCUACAAAAGGCCUGCAUAUCUCAAUCCCUCACAAGAUUUCUUGGUAAUAGAAAUGUAGUUUAGUGCUUGUUGGUAAUGCUAUUCUUUAGGUUCUUUAUUUCCUACUUGUAUCACCGCCUGCAUAUCUGAGAUUUCAAGCAGUUGCAUUGAUAUCAUGAACGUAUGUAGACAUUCUAAACAUUCAGACAGUUGGAUCCGGAAUUAAACUCUGUUUUUUUAACUUAGACAUCAACUCAAAUGGUAGCAGGAAGUAGAUCCUGGAGUUAUGAAUGCCAUAUCAACAAUAAAAUGUAAAUCAUUAAUAAAAUGAACA